AUACUUUCUGUUACUUAGGUUUUCGAUUUGGAUGAAGAAUCUUGUAGAACGUAAGAGAUAUUUUGAAAGGCAGUAAUAAUAGCGAAUACACAUACACAACAUCGUCAUUGAAUUGAGUCAUAAUUAAGGACAAUCCCAUUAGUUUAGAUGUAAAUUUAGGAUACUAAAUGUCCAAAACGACGACCAGGUUCAAAUGGGUUUGAUUCACUUCUCUCAUAAUAGUCCAAUACAGCCAAUAUCUUACCUACAUCAAUAGAAAUUAACAUGAACAAUCCUCUCAUUUUCUUUUACCUAGAUCUAAUCAGUCCUCACAACAAUCAAAUAAAGAAAGAGAAAACUCAGAAAAUAUGGAAACAGCUUCGAUUGCAGAAUCUUCCACUACUUUGAAGACAUCAUCAGUUGGACAAACAAGAAUUGCCGAUGUGUAUAUGCCUAGAACGAUUUCUCAUGAAAAACAAGAAAUAAUAUCGCAGUUGAUGGUAAAAAUGGUAUGCAUAAAUACUUUUUCUGUUUCCUCUGUUAUAAAUAAGGGUUUCAAAGAUUUACUGUCCUAUAUGAUACUUUUUUACAUGGAAUUACAUAAUUUGGAGCAAAUUAUGUAAUUCCAUGUAAAAAAUAAAUUUUCUCCCGAAUUCAAUCAUAAUAUGAAGUAGAACAAUGUAAAUCAAUUGUGAAGUUCAGUGAAUCAGGGAUGUAAGUAAAAUAAGUAGCUUCAACGACAGAUUGUUAGGGGUCAAGGUCAAACGAAUCAUAAAUAACCGUCACUUGUCAUUAUAUCGAUAGCAAUUGGCAACAAACUUCGGUAAAUUUGACGAAUUUUCAAUUUACGAAAUGAGUAAAAAGAAAUUCUUGAGAAUUGGAAAUUGUCAGAAAAAUGUGUAGCAAUUGUUCACGAUAAUGCAGCAAAUAUUGUUGCUGCUACUAGAGAUCUUCCAUUCUUUGCUGUAUACUGUUUUUUCCUCACACAUUGCAAUUGGUAAUAAGGAUGAUCAAGAUUGAUUGGAUGAUCAAAAUAUCGAAUCAUUAAUCGACAAAUGUGAUAAUAUCAAUCAGGAUUUCGAACAAAGCAACUAAUGCUUUAAAUCUAAAACGAACUCAGUUGAGUUUACCCGUUCAUAAAUUGGUUCAAUGGGGAAAACUCAUUGGAAUUCUUCAUUUCAUAGGUAUGUUGCAAAGGUUAAUAGAACAACGAAAAUCAUAAUUGCAGUUUUAUCAGAUAGAUCAACGACAACAAAGUCUCAAGCAGCUCAUUUUUUUUGUUUCGGAGGGAAUAUGAUCGGAUAUUGAAUGCCUUUUGCAAUCUCUGAAACCCUUUGAUGUCGUCGCAAAUUUAUUAUCUAUGGAAUCUCAACCAAUCCUUUCAAUGGUCAUGCCGAUAAUUCAAUCUUUAUCACAAAAUUUUAUUGCCAACAACAAUGAUCAAACGAAUUCUAAGAACAUUAAAUUUUCAAAAUACACUUCGCGACUCGUGUUCAAUUCUUUGAAUUAUUCAACGAACUCUGUUUUUCUGAUUCAUUUUUUUUUAAAGAAAGAUUAUACUUCAGUUGAUAUGUGUGGAUUUUUGGACUCAAGAUUUAAAAGAAUAGAAAGAUUCGUCGGUUCGCAAUUCAGAAUCAAACAAUAUUAUAUGUGACUAUUGAAAUUGAGAAAUGUCUUAAAUUGGUAAUGCAUAUGGAACAGGAAAGCAUAGUUUCAAAUGAAAAAAUCGAUUGAAACGACGGAAUUAGAUUUCCUGAAAAAAAAAUAAGAUGAAUCUUUAAAAAAAACCAAUUGUUAUAAUAAAAUAUAAUAUAAUAUAAUAAUACGCCGUAGAUUAUCCAAUACCCAAAGAUUUAUAUCCACUAUUAUGGUGGAGAAAUAAUCAAAACAACUACAUCAAAUUUUUUGAACUAGCAAAAAAGUAUUUAUGUACCAUCAACAUUAACUUCGUCAAAACGCGCGUUUUCUUGAGCUGGUAAUAUAAGUAUUGUGUCUGGAUAUGAAUUUUAAAUAUUAUUGAUUCUUUACAUGUUGAUACAAAUUGCAUGUAGAAGCUUAUAUUAUAAUUAUUAUUAUUAAAUAUUUAUUGCUGAAUCAAUAUCUUAUACUUUUCUAUUCAAUUUUUAUAUUUUUUUCGUAAUAAAAUCCUAAUUCUA
Harmonia axyridis is the source of this 2135-nucleotide long non-coding RNA. RefSeq lists it as uncharacterized. The record is from RefSeq and is a predicted model, not a curated record. Lineage: Eukaryota; Metazoa; Arthropoda; Insecta; Coleoptera; Coccinellidae. The transcript is spliced from 2 exons.